This 1242-nucleotide ribosomal RNA is filed under the name Triticum aestivum (bread wheat). RNAcentral's name for it is "partial small subunit ribosomal RNA". Lineage: Eukaryota; Viridiplantae; Streptophyta; Magnoliopsida; Poales; Poaceae. The record is from RNAcentral.
AUGGUAGCCACGGUGACCAAGAAACUGCAGGAGCCCCGACGGGACGUCGACGGCGAGCUGAGCAAUGUACCAGCCGUCGGACUCGAACCCGGAUCGUUGAACGCGGGGCCGACCCGCGAAUCGGUUCCCACGGUUGUCAUGCCGCCGGCGGCGGCAGAGUACUCGUCGAUGAGAAAGCUGGGGAAGCUCUUCAAGCUCACCGAAGUGCACCUAUGGGAUGAUUUUUAUGUGAAGACCGGGGAUUGCGAUGCUACAGAGACUACUGGUUGCACGGGAUCUCAAACAACUGAAAACCGCAAUAAAGUAGCCAAAACAACAGAUGCAGAUCAUUCAUUUGUUGAAGAUAUGGAAUUGGCUAGUCGCAUGGCAGAUCAGACUGGUGAUGACACGCAUCUGGAUGAGCAGAGACAUGAACUUAUUUACAAUGAAACUCUCAGUCUAUCAGAUAUUCCUGACAAAGAGUUGACAUAUAUAAGUGUGAUAGCUACCAUUGAUGAAGCACAACAUGACAAAAAUAUGCAGAAUGAUAGUCCAAUGACUGAAGUGUUAGAAAUGAACCAAGAAGUUCAUUCAUGUCCGGACAUGGCAAACAUGUCCACUGACAUUGCCAGGUAUUGGAAUCAGCGGUACUCGCUUUUCUCCCUUUUUGAUAGUGGUAUAAAGACGGAUGAAGAGGGGUGGUUUUCAGUGACGCCAGAGCUCAUCGCAAAGCAUCAUGCAUCUCGUGUUGGUGCAGGCAUAUUGAUUGACUGUUUCGCAGGAAUUGGUGGUAAUACCAUCCAGUUUGCUACAAAGUGUAAGCAUGUUGUUGCUGUUGACGUUGACCCACAGAAGAUUGGUUAUGCACAACAUAAUGCAACUAUUUACGGAGUAAAUGAUCACAUAGACUUCAUCGUAGGAGAUUUUAUUAAUAUAGCACCUCAUCUGAAGGGAGAAACUGUUUUCAUGUCACCCCCUUGGGGUGGACCAGACUAUGCAGAAGUCGAUGUUUACGAUAUCAAAACCAUGCUUAAGCCAUGUGAUGGGUAUCAUCUCUUCAAACUUGCCAUGGCUAUCGCUUCGAGAGUAGUCAUGUUUCUUCCUCGCAACUGCGACCUAGACCAACUGGCAGACAUGUGUUUGUCGGUGGAUCCUCCAUGGGCGGUUGAGGUGGAGAAGAAUUUCCUCAAUGGGAAGCUGAAAACCAUAACAGCGUACUUUGAAGAACACGUGAGCGUAGACGUGGAAGUGGAACACCAAUGA